UACGUAGGUGGCACGCGUUAUCCGGAUUUAUUGGGCGUAAAGGGAACGCAGGCGGUCUUUUAAGUCUGAUGUGAAAGCCUUCGGCUUAACCGGAGUAGUGCAUUGGAAACUGGGAGACUUGAGUGCAGAAGAGGAGAGUGGAACUCCAUGUGUAGCGGUGAAAUGCGUAGAUAUAUGGAAGAACACCAGUGGCGAAAGCGGCUCUCUGGUCUGUAACUGACGCUGAGGUUCGAAAGCGUGGGUAGCAAACAGG
Molecule: ribosomal RNA, 253 nt
Filed under: uncultured bacterium
Lineage: Bacteria
Description: partial 16S ribosomal RNA
Rfam family: Bacterial small subunit ribosomal RNA
Source: RNAcentral